This 64-nucleotide transfer RNA is filed under the name Loxoblemmus equestris. RNAcentral's name for it is "tRNA-Phe". RNAcentral also lists the same sequence under 2 other names. Lineage: Eukaryota; Metazoa; Arthropoda; Insecta; Orthoptera; Gryllidae. The record is from RNAcentral.
ACUUAAAUAGCUUAUGUAAAGAGUAUGAUAUUGAAGCUGUCAGGGAGAUGUUUAUCUUUAAGUG